Molecule: ribosomal RNA, 871 nt
Filed under: uncultured bacterium
Lineage: Bacteria
Description: bacterial SSU rRNA
Rfam family: Bacterial small subunit ribosomal RNA
Source: RNAcentral
GGCUUGUGCUUAACACAUGCAAGUCGAACGAAGCUUGAUGAUUGAUUUCUUCGGAAAGAAAUUUGAUAUGACUGAGUGGCGGACGGGUGAGUAACGCGUGAGCAACCUGCCCUUCAGAGGGGGAUAGCGUCUGGAAACGGACGGUAAUACCGCAUAACGUACAAAGGCCGCAUGACCAUUGUACCAAAACUGAGGUGCUGAAGGAUGGGCUCGCGUUGGAUUAGAUAGUUGGUGGGGUAACGGCCUACCAAGUCGACGAUCCAUAGCCGGACUGAGAGGUUGAACGGCCACAUUGGGACUGAGACACGGCCCAGACUCCUACGGGAGGCAGCAGUGGGGAAUAUUGCACAAUGGGGGAAACCCUGAUGCAGCAACGCCGCGUGAAGGAAGACGGUUUUCGGAUUGUAAACUUCUGUUCUUAGUGAAGAUAGUGACGGUAGCCAAGGAGCAAGCCACGGCUAACUACGUGCCAGCAGCCGCGGUAAUACGUAGGUGGCAAGCGUUGUCCGGAAUUACUGGGUGUAAAGGGAGCGCAGGCGGGGAGCCAAGUCAGCUGUGAAAACUACAGGCUUAACUUGUAGACUGCAGUUGAAACUGGUUUUCUUGAGUGAAGUAGAGGUUGGCGGAAUUCCGAGUGUAGCGGUGAAAUGCGUAGAUAUUCGGAGGAACACCGGUGGCGAAAGCGGGCCAACUGGGCUUUAACUGACGCUGAGGCUCGAAAGUGUGGGGAGCAAACAGGAUUAGAUACCCUGGUAGUCCACACUGUAAACGAUGAUUGCUAGUGUGGGGGGUCUGACCCCUUCCGUGCCGCAGCUAACGCAUAAGCAAUCCACCUGGGGAGUACGACCGCAAGGUGAAACUCCAAAGGAAU